GGGAAAGUUCUACUGAGCUUUGUGAUGCUCAUGGGAAUUGGGGCAGUCUGUUUCCCUGGCAGCUGCAUUCUUAGGAAACUCCCUCAGAGGAGUGCUUAAUGGCGCUGUAUUUUCUGGAGGCUCUGUUUUCAGGUGUUUAUUGAGCAUCUUGUCUGUACCAGGAACUGCAUAAGGCUUUAAGCCUAUGGUAAUGAGCCUCUUGCCGGAUUCACUACCUCUUCUUAUCAGAGGGAGAAUCUAGCAUCGAAGCUGAGGACUGCACAUCGCAUUAUCAAGGACAAAGUUAAUUAAAACUAACGCGCUCCAAGAAACGUGACCUCUGUA
This is a long non-coding RNA of Felis catus (domestic cat), 324 nucleotides long. RefSeq lists it as uncharacterized. Lineage: Eukaryota; Metazoa; Chordata; Mammalia; Carnivora; Felidae. The record is from RefSeq and is a predicted model, not a curated record. The transcript is spliced from 2 exons.